This 484-nucleotide ribosomal RNA is filed under the name uncultured bacterium. RNAcentral describes it as "partial 16S ribosomal RNA". It matches the Rfam family "Bacterial small subunit ribosomal RNA", at positions 29 to 507 of the family's 1533-position model. The record is from RNAcentral.
AUUGAACGCUGGCGGCAUGCUUUACACAUGCAAGUCGAACGGCAGCGCGGGCUUCGGCCUGGCGGCGAGUGGCGAACGGGUGAGUAAUACAUCGGAACGUGCCCAGUAGUGGGGGAUAGCUCGGCGAAAGCCGGACUAAUACCGCAUACGACCUGAGGGUGAAAGCGGGGGAUCUUCGGACCUCGCGCUAUCGGAUCGGCCGAGGGCAGAUUAGCUAGUUGGUGGGGUAAAGGCCUACCAAGGCGACGAUCUGUAGCUGGUCUGAGAGGACGACCAGCCACACUGGGACUGAGACACGGCCCAGACUCCUACGGGAGGCAGCAGUGGGGAAUUUUGGACAAUGGGCGAAAGCCUGAUCCAGCAAUGCCGCGUGUGUGAUGAAGGCCUUCGGAUUGUAAAGCACUUUUGGCGGGAAGGAAAAGGACUGUGCCAAUACCACGGUUCGAUGACGGUACCCGCAGAAUAAGCACCGGCUAACUACGUG